This 252-nucleotide long non-coding RNA is filed under the name Homo sapiens (human). RNAcentral describes it as "HSALNT0328535". Lineage: Eukaryota; Metazoa; Chordata; Mammalia; Primates; Hominidae. The record is from RNAcentral.
GCCACUGUGAAAACAACGCAGAUACAGCACCAGGGCAGACACUCGCCCCCAGGGGUGGCUCCCCCAGAUCCCAGGCCUCUAGGCCCCGCAUCAACAGUGCACUGCAGACACUCACGGCCUUCCCACACUUUGUCCUCACUUGCAACAGGGGCUUCUGGUGGGUCUAGCGUUUCUAAAGCACCCACUAUGGAUGCACAGCAGGACAGACCCAAGUCCCAAGACUGCCUGGGCCUAGUGGCCCCCCUAGCAUCU